CCUGACUGGCCUGGAACUCAGGAAGAUCUGCCUGUCCCUGCCUUUAGAACGCUACGAUUGAAGAUGUGAGCGACCACACCUGGCAUUCCUGCUUAUUAAGCUGUUUGUGAACUGGGCUUGAUGGUUGAUGCCUGUAAUCACAAUACUGGAUAGCUGUGACAAGGUGGCUGUCAUGUGUUCGGGAUCCACCUCAGCUACAGAGUGAAUUCCUAUCUCAAAAGGAAGCGGGGGCUUUACCCUUACCUGUUGACUGACUCCACACCACAGCACCUGGACUGGAUUAUAGUGGCGGUUUUUAUUCUUCCCAUGAAGUUGUGUAUCUGGUAAGAAAACCAUGACAUCUAGAGCAGGCAUUUCAGAAGACCUGGAGUGGCUUUUGGCGUCAUCAGGAGAACCUGAAGAGGAAUGUUGAGGGCACAGACCUUGUCUUAGUUAAGGAUAUGCCAUCAGUAGGGACUGAAAAGUGAAGGAAGAUGACAGACGCCAAGCAUGGUGCUACUGAUGAUGCAGCUUACUUUCCUGUGGUACCCACAGAAGCGCUCGUCUGGGAUCCCUGUCAAAGCCGUGGCACUUCCGGCUGCUGCAGAAAGAUCUGCAGUGUUUUGGGUGAACACACUUUAAGGCCUGUAUGGAUUGGCUCUUUACAUUUUGAAAUAGGCAUGCAAUUGGGAACCUGUAGAUGGAGUUUUCCCGUUGGGACAGCCAGCUCCCCCAAAACCACACAGAGACUUAUUAAUUAUAAAUGCUUGGCUGAUAGGUUACUAACUAGUUCUUUCAACUUAAACUAACCCAUAUUCUAUCCUCUACCACAUGGCAGUACCUUUUCCAGAACGCCAUGUUUGUCUCCUGCUUCCUCUGCAUCUGGCUGGUGACUCCGCCCUCUUUCUUCCCAGCAUUCUCAGUCUGGCGCUCCUGGCUCACCUCUUCUUUCCUACUUAUUCCUAGUUAUUGGCCAUUUGGCUCUUUAUUAAACCAGUGAGAAAAAGACAUCUUCACGGUGUACAACAGGAUUCUAACGCAGCAGGAACCAGA
Microtus ochrogaster (prairie vole) is the source of this 1032-nucleotide long non-coding RNA. RefSeq lists it as uncharacterized. NCBI's taxonomy places the organism in Eukaryota, Metazoa, Chordata, Mammalia, Rodentia, Cricetidae. The transcript is spliced from 3 exons. The record is from RefSeq and is a predicted model, not a curated record.